AGUGAACGCUGGCGGUAGGCCUAACACAUGCAAGUCGAACGGCAGCACAGUAAGAGCUUGCUCUUACGGGCGGCGAGUGGCGGACGGGUGAGGAAUACAUCGGAAUCUACUCUUUCGUGGGGGAUAAUGUAGGGAAACUUACGCUAAUACCGCAUACGACCUACGGGUGAAAGCAGGGGUUCUUCGGACCUUGCGCGAUUGAAUGAGCCGAUGUCGGAUUAGCUAGUUUGCGGGGUAAAGGCCCACCAAGGCGACGAUCCGUAGCUGGUCUGAGGGGAUGAUCAGCCGCACUGGAACAGAGACACAGUCCAGACUCCGAGGGUGAGCAACGGUGGGGAAUAUUGGACGAGGGGCGCAAGCCUGAUCCAGCCAUACCGCGUAGAUGAAGAAGGCCUUCUGGUUGGAGAGCCCUUUUGUUGUGAAAGAAGAACAGCAGGUUAAUACCCCACGAUUCUGACGGUACCCAAAGAAUAAGCACCGGCUAACUUCGUG
Molecule: ribosomal RNA, 492 nt
Filed under: uncultured bacterium
Lineage: Bacteria
Description: partial 16S ribosomal RNA
Rfam family: Bacterial small subunit ribosomal RNA
Source: RNAcentral